Physella acuta is the source of this 290-nucleotide long non-coding RNA. RefSeq lists it as uncharacterized. The record is from RefSeq and is a predicted model, not a curated record. NCBI's taxonomy places the organism in Eukaryota, Metazoa, Mollusca, Gastropoda, Physidae.
AUUGUCUUUCGAUAUUUCACAAACUAUGGUCGGUCAUUCAUUAUUUCCAAUCAUCUUAAGAUGGCGGAGUACAUUCUUCUAAAGAAACAUUUGAAGCUCAUGGUGGGCCAUUUAAAAGAAAUACAUGUUGAUUUACAGAGAAAUCUAAGUGAUUUUGUACAACAGGUUGAAUCCCAAACCAAAGAGAGUAUGGAUCUUCCCAAUGAAUCAAAAAUGACAUUUAAAGAGGCCCUAGCUUUGAUAACCAACGCGAAUUUCAUCUUGCUCGAACAAACCCGAAUGCUAGUAGG